CUUCCUUGCCCUCGAGGGCUGGGCCUAAACUGAGCACAGCAGAAUUACAGGGUUUCAAGAAGCCCUCUCUUCAAAGUAUCCUCACAUCUGAAGAGGAGGGCUCACUGUCAAGUAGAUCCAGGGCCACAGAGCAUGUACUCAGAAGCCAAGAGAAUCACAUUCUUCAGUCCAAAAGUUUAAUGCACUUAUCUGUAGGCAUUUAGCAGAAGAAAUGGAAAUAUAUUUUGAGGAAGAGAGGACAAAUUCUCACAGAAAGUAUCUGACCAGCAAUCAGUGUGCUCCUGGAGGAGAUUCAAGGAUAGGAAUUUUGAAGAACUAG
RNAcentral lists this long non-coding RNA (319 nucleotides) under Numida meleagris (helmeted guineafowl). Its description in RNAcentral is "lncRNA (ENSNMEG00000007286.1)". The record is from RNAcentral. Lineage: Eukaryota; Metazoa; Chordata; Aves; Galliformes; Numididae.